UGGGGAAUUUUGGACAAUGGGGGAAACCCUGAUCCAGCCAUCCCGCGUGUGCGAUGAAGGCCUUCGGGUUGUAAAGCACUUUUGUCAGGAAAGAAACGUCAUGGGUUAAUACCCCGUGAAACUGACGGUACCUGCAGAAUAAGCACCGGCUAACUACGUGCCAGCAGCCGCGGUAAUACGUAGGGUGCAAGCGUUAAUCGGAAUUACUGGGCGUAAAGCGUGCGCAGGCGGUUGGGAAAGACAGAUGUGAAAUCCCAGAGCUUAACUUUGGAACUGCAUUUUUAACUACCGGGCUAGAGUGUGUCAGAGGGAGGUGGAAUUCCGCGUGUAGCAGUGAAAUGCGUAGAUAUGCGGAGGAACACCGAUGGCGAAGGCAGGCUCCUGGGAUAACACUGACGCUCAUGCACGAAAGCGUGGGGAGCAAACAGG
This 429-nucleotide ribosomal RNA is filed under the name Acidobacteriota bacterium. Its description in RNAcentral is "Acidobacteria bacterium partial 16S ribosomal RNA". It matches the Rfam family "Bacterial small subunit ribosomal RNA", at positions 355 to 776 of the family's 1533-position model. The record is from RNAcentral. Lineage: Bacteria; Pseudomonadati; Acidobacteriota.